This 411-nucleotide ribosomal RNA is filed under the name bacterium. RNAcentral describes it as "partial 16S ribosomal RNA". It matches the Rfam family "Bacterial small subunit ribosomal RNA", at positions 355 to 776 of the family's 1533-position model. The record is from RNAcentral.
UCGAGGAUCUUCGGCAAUGGGCGCAAGCCUGACCGAGCGACGCCGCGUGAGCGAUGAAGGCCUUCGGGUCGUAAAGCUCUGUCGGGGGGGAGAAAGGGGCAACCUUGAUCGACCCCCGGAGGAAGCACGGGCUAAGUUCGUGCCAGCAGCCGCGGUAAGACGAACCGUGCGAACGUUAUUCGGAAUCACUGGGCUUAAAGGGCGCGUAGGCGGGCUCGCCAGUCCGGGGUGAAAUCCCACGGCCCAACCGUGGAAGUGCCUUGGAUACUGCGAGCCUCGAGGGGGGUAGGGGCGUGCGGAACUCAGGGUGGAGCGGUGAAAUGCGUAGAUAUCCUGAGGAACACCGGUGGCGAAAGCGGCGCGCUGGACCCCUUCUGACGCUGAGGCGCGAAAGCCAGGGGAGCAAACGGG